CCGAAACUAAACUUUUCCCCUUUAGUCAGCAUUAGGGUUUUAAACCCUAAACUGAACUUUUUCCCUUAGUUAGAGUUAGGGUUUUAAACCCGAAACUAAACUUUUCCCCUUUAGUCAGCAUUAGGGUUUUAGACCCUAAACUGAACUCUUCCCUUUAAUCAGGAUUAGGGUUUUAAACCCUAAACUGAACUUUUUCCUUUAGUCAGCAUUAGGGGUUUAAACCCUAAACUGAACUUUUCCCUUUAGAUAGCAUUAGGGUUUUAAACCCUAAACUGAACUCUUUCCUUUAGUCAACAUUAGGGUUUUAAACCUUGAACUGAUCUCUUUACUUUAGUCAGCAUUAGGGUUUUAAACCUUAAACUGAACUCUUCCCUUUAGUCAGCAUUAGGGUUUUAAACCCUAAACUGAACUUUUCCCUUUAGUCAGCAUUAGGGUUUUAAACCCUAAACUGAACUUUUUCCAUUUAGUCAGCAUUAGGGUUUUAAACCCUAAACUGAACUCUUCCCUUUAGUCAGCAUUAGGGUUUUAAACCCUAAACUGAACUCUUCCGUUUAGUCAGCAUUAGGGUUUUAAACCCUAAACUGAACUCUUUCCUUUAGACAUCAUUAGGGUUUUAAACCCUAAACUGAACUCUUCCGUUUAGUCAGCAUUAGGGUUUUAAACCCUAAACUGAACUCUUUCCCUUUAGUCAGCAUUAGGGGUUUUAAACCCUAAACUGAACUUUUUCCUUUAGUCAGCAUUAGGGUUUUAAACCCUAAACUGAACUUUUUA
Molecule: long non-coding RNA, 771 nt
Filed under: Nicotiana tabacum (common tobacco)
Lineage: Eukaryota; Viridiplantae; Streptophyta; Magnoliopsida; Solanales; Solanaceae
Description: long non-coding RNA (NTAB_LNC011718)
Source: RNAcentral